Molecule: ribosomal RNA, 597 nt
Filed under: Escherichia coli O26
Lineage: Bacteria; Pseudomonadati; Pseudomonadota; Gammaproteobacteria; Enterobacterales; Enterobacteriaceae
Description: bacterial SSU rRNA
Rfam family: Bacterial small subunit ribosomal RNA
Source: RNAcentral
CUGACGAGUGGCGGACGGGUGAGUAAUGUCUGGGAAACUGCCUGAUGGAGGGGGAUAACUACUGGAAACGGUAGCUAAUACCGCAUAACGUCGCAAGACCAAAGAGGGGGACCUUCGGGCCUCUUGCCAUCGGAUGUGCCCAGAUGGGAUUAGCUUGUUGGUGGGGUAACGGCUCACCAAGGCGACGAUCCCUAGCUGGUCUGAGAGGAUGACCAGCCACACUGGAACUGAGACACGGUCCAGACUCCUACGGGAGGCAGCAGUGGGGAAUAUUGCACAAUGGGCGCAAGCCUGAUGCAGCCAUGCCGCGUGUAUGAAGAAGGCCUUCGGGUUGUAAAGUACUUUCAGCGGGGAGGAAGGGAGUAAAGUUAAUACCUUUGCUCAUUGACGCUACCCGCAGAAGAAGCACCGGCUAACUCCGUGCCAGCAGCCGCGGUAAUACGGAGGGUGCAAGCGUUAAUCGGAAUUACUGGGCGUAAAGCGCACGCAGGCGGUUUGUUAAGUCAGAUGUGAAAUCCCCGGGCUCAACCUGGGAACUGCAUCUGAUACUGGCAAGCUUGAGUCUCGUAGAGGGGGGUAGAAUUCCAGGUGUAGCGG